GAUGGACGCUGGCGGCGUGCCUAAUACAUGCAAGUCGAGCGAACAGACGAGGAGCUUGCUCCUUUGACGUUAGCGGCGGACGGGUGAGUAACACGUAGGUAACCUACCUAUAAGACUGGGAUAACUUCGGGAAACCGGAGCUAAUACCGGAUAAUAUUUCGAACCGCAUGGUUCGAUAGUGAAAGAUGGCUUUGCUAUCACUUAUAGAUGGACCUGCGCCGUAUUAGCUAGUUGGUAAGGUAACGGCUUACCAAGGCAACGAUACGUAGCCGACCUGAGAGGGUGAUCGGCCACACUGGAACUGAGACACGGUCCAGACUCCUACGGGAGGCAGCAGUAGGGAAUCUUCCGCAAUGGGCGAAAGCCUGACGGAGCAACGCCGCGUGAGUGAUGAAGGUCUUCGGAUCGUAAAACUCUGUUAUUAGGGAAGAACAAACGUGUAAGUAACUGUGCACGUCUUGACGGUACCUAAUCAGAAAGCCACGGCUAACUACGUG
RNAcentral lists this ribosomal RNA (497 nucleotides) under uncultured bacterium. RNAcentral describes it as "partial 16S ribosomal RNA". It matches the Rfam family "Bacterial small subunit ribosomal RNA", at positions 28 to 507 of the family's 1533-position model. The record is from RNAcentral.